AUGUUUUGUCAAUCGACACUUG
Molecule: small nuclear RNA, 22 nt
Filed under: Arabidopsis thaliana (thale cress)
Lineage: Eukaryota; Viridiplantae; Streptophyta; Magnoliopsida; Brassicales; Brassicaceae
Description: snRNA_09578
Source: RNAcentral